GAUGAACGCUGGCGGCGUGCCUAAUACAUGCAAGUCGAGCGAGCAGACGAGGAGCUUGCUCCUCUGACGUUAGCGGCGGACGGGUGAGUAACACGUGGAUAACCUACCUAUAAGACUGGGAUAACUUCGGGAAACCGGAGCUAAUACCGGAUAAUAUAUUGAACCGCAUGGUUCAAUAGUGAAAGACGGUUUUGCUGUCACUUAUAGAUGGAUCCGCGCCGCAUUAGCUAGUUGGUAAGGUAACGGCUUACCAAGGCGACGAUGCGUAGCCGACCUGAGCGGGUGGUCGGCCACACUGGAACUGAGACACGGCCCCGACUCCGACGGGAGGCAGCAGUAGGGAAUCUUCCGCAAUGGGCGAAUGCCUAACGGAGCAACGCCGCGUGAGUGAUGAAGGUCUUCGGAUCGUAAAACUCUGUUAUUAGGGAAGAACAAAUGUGUAAGUAACUAUGCACGUCUUGACGGUACCUAGUCAGAAAGCCACGGCUAACUACGUG
Molecule: ribosomal RNA, 497 nt
Filed under: uncultured bacterium
Lineage: Bacteria
Description: partial 16S ribosomal RNA
Rfam family: Bacterial small subunit ribosomal RNA
Source: RNAcentral